CCUACGGGUGGCAGCAGUGGGGAAUAUUGCACAAUGGGGGAAACCCUGAUGCAGCGACGCCGCGUGAGUGAAGAAGUAUUUCGGUAUGUAAAGUUCUGUCAGCAGGGAAGAAAAUGACGGUACCUGACUAAGAAGCCCCGGCUAACUACGUGCCAGCAGCCGCGGUAAUACGUAGGGGGCAAGCGUUAUCCGGAUUUACUGGGUGUAAAGGGAGCGUAGGCGGUGCGGCAAGUCUGAAGUGAAAGCCCGGGGCCCAACCCCGGGACUGCUUUGGAAACUGCUGAACUAGAGUGCAGGAGGGGUAAGCGGAAUUCCUAGUGUAGCGGUGAAAUGCGUAGAUAUUAGGAGGAACACCAGUGGCGAAGGCGGCUUACUGGACUGUAACUGACGUUGAGGCUCGAAAGCGUGGGGAGCAAACAGGAUUAGAUACCCCAGUAGUC
This 440-nucleotide ribosomal RNA is filed under the name uncultured bacterium. RNAcentral describes it as "partial 16S ribosomal RNA". It matches the Rfam family "Bacterial small subunit ribosomal RNA", at positions 338 to 795 of the family's 1533-position model. The record is from RNAcentral.